GCUCGCCUCGUCCAGGGCGGGUGCGCGGGCCUCGUGAGCCCGCAGGUGACGGGCUACAUCCAGCAGGAGUUCCGGGGCUUCGAGCGGGCGC
This 91-nucleotide transfer RNA is filed under the name Luteimicrobium album. RNAcentral describes it as "tRNA-Thr". Lineage: Bacteria; Bacillati; Actinomycetota; Actinomycetes; Micrococcales. The record is from RNAcentral.